This 575-nucleotide ribosomal RNA is filed under the name Aspergillus quadricinctus. RNAcentral describes it as "eukaryotic LSU rRNA". It matches the Rfam family "Eukaryotic large subunit ribosomal RNA", at positions 58 to 648 of the family's 3401-position model. The record is from RNAcentral. Lineage: Eukaryota; Fungi; Ascomycota; Eurotiomycetes; Eurotiales; Aspergillaceae.
AAAGAAACCAACAGGGAUUGCCUCAGUAACGGCGAGUGAAGCGGCAAGAGCUCAAAUUUGAAAGCUGGCCCCUUCGGGGUCCGCGUUGUAAUUUGCAGAGGAUGCUUCGGGUGCAGCCCCCGUCUAAGUGCCCUGGAACGGGCCGUCAUAGAGGGUGAGAAUCCCGUCUGGGACGGGGUGUCUGCGUCCGUGUGAAGCUCCUUCGACGAGUCGAGUUGUUUGGGAAUGCAGCUCUAAAUGGGUGGUAAAUUUCAUCUAAAGCUAAAUACUGGCCGGAGACCGAUAGCGCACAAGUAGAGUGAUCGAAAGAUGAAAAGCACUUUGAAAAGAGAGUUAAACAGCACGUGAAAUUGUUGAAAGGGAAGCGUUUGCGACCAGACUCGCCCGCGGGGUUCAGCCGGCACUCGUGCCGGUGUACUUCCCCGUGGGCGGGCCAGCGUCGGUUUGGGCGGCCGGUCAAAGGCCCUCGGAAUGUAUCACCUCUCGGGGUGUCUUAUAGCCGAGGGUGCAAUGCGGCCUGUCCGGACCGAGGAACGCGCUUCGGCUCGGACGCUGGCGUAAUGGUCGUAAAUGAC